CAGCUGCUGACUCAACAGUGUAUCACGAUCAACAACAACCCAAACAAUUUAGGUUACCAACAAUCUAUCACUUUAAUUUGUGGCAAUAGCGAAACACGUAACAAAUUGGGAAAAUAAGUGUUUACAAGUGUGGAUAUAGAAACAUAUAAAUACAGACAGGUAAACAUUGAGAAUGUCGGCCCAGCAACCACCACAGGUAGUAACUGUACAACCAGGAACAGUAGCUGUAGGAGGAUGUCCAACAUGUGGUGUCGGACACAUAUCUGAGGAUUUCACAAUGAUAGGAAUAAUCCUGGCCAUUCUAUUCUUCCCUCUAGGAAUACUGUGUUGUUUAAUGAUGAAGGAAAAGAAAUGUGACAGAUGUGGUGCUAAGUUUUAAGCAGACAUUAAAACGAGGAGCGUAUCUAUAAUAUAUUGUACAUGUACAUGUAUUUCAAACUUUUUGUAUCUUAUACCUUGUUGAGAAACAAACAAGUGCUGCAUUUAACAGGGGCUAAAACAAAUGGAAGUUUAAUGUGAAAAGAUAUGAAUCUGAAACAUGUUUUGACUAAAAUGACCUUUCAUUAAAAGUAAAAAUUUCAUGAAGCAUUUCCUUACAAUAUUAAGUUUAUAGUGUCAAACAUAUGUGUAAGAAUUACUUUAAGAUACAUUCCUAUCUAAAUAAUAAAAUACAAAGUUAGAUUUAAACAUGAAUUCUAAAAAUUUUAACAAAGCGUUUUUAAUUAAAAAUGUGACGAUAUAAAACAGAAAAAAUUGAAGGGGAGAAAAAAGCAUUGGAUUAGAUACAAAUUAUUUUAAUGCAAUAAUGGCACAUUUUUAAAUACAUGUAUGAUUAACAUUUUAAUUAAAAAGGACAUUAUCUUUCAUUCUUAAACUAUGCAUUUAUGCAUUUGUUGCCUUACAUUAUAGCGUAAACAUGUGUAUGAUUGGACCAAAACACAUUUCAUAGUUUUUUUGUGUGAUAAGACCCUCCUUGUCAUUGUUCGCCUACAAAACACCUGACAAAACAUGUUUUCAUUGCACAUUUUAUGCAAAUUACGAUUGCCUUGUAUUAGAUUUUUGUAUAAUAUUAAAUCAUAAUAUUUCUAUAUA
Long non-coding RNA from Ruditapes philippinarum (Manila clam), 1092 nucleotides. RefSeq lists it as uncharacterized. The record is from RefSeq and is a predicted model, not a curated record. Lineage: Eukaryota; Metazoa; Mollusca; Bivalvia; Venerida; Veneridae. The transcript has 3 exons.